Molecule: transfer RNA, 62 nt
Filed under: Didelphis imperfecta (Guianan white-eared opossum)
Lineage: Eukaryota; Metazoa; Chordata; Mammalia; Didelphimorphia; Didelphidae
Description: tRNA-Lys
Source: RNAcentral
CAUUUUUGAGUUACAUACAUAUAUUUAAAUAUAAUCGAGAUAUAAAAAUCUCCUCAAAAUAA